This 614-nucleotide long non-coding RNA is filed under the name Elaeis guineensis (African oil palm). RNAcentral's name for it is "long non-coding RNA (EGUI_LNC081014)". Lineage: Eukaryota; Viridiplantae; Streptophyta; Magnoliopsida; Arecales; Arecaceae. The record is from RNAcentral.
UCACUAUUUUAUUCGAAUUGGUAGCCUCUACCUCCAAUUCGAGGAAUUACCCUAAUUCCUUAGUGGGUACUAGAAUCCACUUAGACUGCACACAAGCCCAACUUUGGUUGGCCAACCCAUGUACAUCUAAGGGUAGGUUCAUAACCAAUUAUUUUUCUAAAUAAUAUUUAAUAAUUUUAAUUUUACCUCAGAAACAUAAUCAGUAGGCUUUGGCCUCCACUGUAAGGAUCCGGUUAGGUCCAACCAUUAACAUGAUCAUACUUGGUGUAUCUAACCAACGAAUGAUUAAGUCCAACUUUAGUUGGCUCACCUAACCACCAUUAGAGAGACACUUCCAAGUCAUCAUAUGAUGAGUGAUAAUUCUAUUAGUCAACAAGCACCAGGCCUUUGGGUCUGCAAUGAUUAUUGGGUUAUGGACUCAUUAUCAAACACCUUAAUGGGAGACUAUGACUCAGUUAUCUCCAUAACUUUGUCAUUUUAAGGACCUAAUAAUUUUAGAAGAUUUAAAUAAUUUAGAGGAUGAGGUCAGAUGAACCAGCUUAUCAUGAUCCUCCCACUGGCUUUACCAAGUCAGCUUAAGGUAGACCAUUAAAAGGGCUGGUCUAGGAGCACCU